RNAcentral lists this microRNA precursor (109 nucleotides) under Pelobates cultripes (western spadefoot toad). Lineage: Eukaryota; Metazoa; Chordata; Amphibia; Anura; Pelobatidae. The record is from RNAcentral.
UAAAGUGAAAAAAAGGGACUUUUAAUUAUUCCAUGUGAAUGGAAAAUUGAUUUUUCUAUACAUUUCACAUGGAAUAAUUAAAAGUCCCUUUUUUUCACUUUAACCAAGU